UCUGUGAAGGAAAAUACAAAGCUAUCUACAGAUCUGUGUAUAUGCAGACUAUCAGAUCUAACAUAGCAUCCCUCUCUGAAGACGGAGGAAGCACUGCAAGCUCCUGCCCAAGGGUAUCUACAUGAGCUAGCAGAUCAGAGGUUAACUGCAUGGUGGCAAAAUGCUCAUCAAUGUAAGCACUCAUGUCGGCCAGACUGACGGUCAUCUGGGAUCUAAUGGAAGUGCUAUCUGCAAUGGCCACAUCCCUAGCAGAUAAAGCGGCAUCUCGCUCUCCAAUCAAUACAUCCCUGGCUGAUCUAGCAUCAUCCCUCUCUAACAGAGCAGUAUCUCUCUCAUCAAGAGAUGUCAACAUCGCGGCCCUAGCCUGAUCUCUAUCAUAGGUCAUCCGAUGUCAGCUCUGCUCCAAAUGCUGUGCCGAAUACUGAUUAACAGUGGCACUCGGGGUGGGAGAAUCCAUCACAAAUGCUGGCAGCCCAGCAGUCAAAUCAUCGGUGGGAAUAACAGCCUCCUCUAUAGGCUCCUCAUCGUCAGAAUCAAUCCCCUGCACUGUGGAUACUGCCGCAGCCGAUGUAGUCUCUGUCUCCAUCCAUGUGGAAUACUCUGCAGAACAACCUGGAUGACUGACAAAAAACUCAGCCAGCUCUCGUUGAUC
This 652-nucleotide long non-coding RNA is filed under the name Panax ginseng (ginseng). RNAcentral describes it as "long non-coding RNA (PGIN_LNC001481)". Lineage: Eukaryota; Viridiplantae; Streptophyta; Magnoliopsida; Apiales; Araliaceae. The record is from RNAcentral.